RNAcentral lists this ribosomal RNA (508 nucleotides) under uncultured bacterium. RNAcentral describes it as "bacterial SSU rRNA". It matches the Rfam family "Bacterial small subunit ribosomal RNA", at positions 36 to 518 of the family's 1533-position model. The record is from RNAcentral.
ACUGGCAGCGUGGAUUAGGCAUGCAAGUCGAACGGGAUCGCCGAGUUAGCAAUAAGUGAGGCGUGAGAGUGGCGGAUUGGCGAGUAACACGUGAGCAACCUGCCCUGAGGUUGGGGAAAACCGCUGGAAACGGCGGCUAAUAUCCGAUGGAGCGCCCAUGGACAUGAGUGGAGCGCGAAAGGGGGCCCGCAAGGGCUCCCGCCACGGGAUGGGCUCGCGCAUCAUCAGCUUGUUGGCGGGGUAACGGCCCACCAAGGCGUACGAUUAGCUGGUCUGAGAGGAUGACCAGCCGCACUGGGACUGAGAUACUGCCCAGACUCCUACGGGAGGCUGCAGUCGAGGAUCAUUCGCAAUGGGGGAAACCCUGACGAUGCGACGCUGCGUGGAGGAAUGAAGGCCUUCGGGUUGUAAACUCCUGUCAUGAGGGAAAAGGCGAGGGGACCCAACACGUCUCUUAGUUGAUGGUACCUCAAGAGGAAGGGACGGCUAACUCUGUGCCAGCAGCAGC